Aedes aegypti (yellow fever mosquito) is the source of this 1610-nucleotide RNA transcript. It is a transcript of the gene named YY1-associated factor 2, with no coding region annotated. The transcript has 2 exons. Lineage: Eukaryota; Metazoa; Arthropoda; Insecta; Diptera; Culicidae. The record is from RefSeq and is a predicted model, not a curated record.
GUUUUUGCAAAAGAAGAAGAAAAAAUGAAAAAGCAAGAAGUGACAUUUGCUUCAGCCAUCAUUGGAAGGCAGUAAAAUUUAUAAUCAACCUACGGAAAACACAAAUUUGUCGCUAAAAUGAUAGAUCCUCUACAUUUAAACUAAUCGCAAACUGAUUGUUGUGCUUUUGACUAUUGUGUGCAAGCAAUGGAUAAAAAUAAAUCUCCAAUACGCCGCGCAAAACGUCAAUCUAAAGUUGUUGAGGAAAAUUUUUGGGACUGCAGUGUCUGCACCUACAGAAACACAGCCGAAGCGUUCAAGUGCUUAAUGUGCGACGUACGAAAAGUUUACUCGGUUCCAGGCACGUCAACCCGCAAGCCUCGCCUUAAUUCGGCGCUGGUGGCACAACAGGCGGCAACACAGGCGUUUCCUGGUGCAUCUGGAGCUCCAGCACAAAACUCAAAAUCUCCAGGAGGGAAAUCAUCACGCAACAAAAACAAGCGAUCAAAAUAUCCAGCAAGGUUGAAAAAUAUUGAUCGAUCCAGCGGACAAACUCGAGAGGUGACAGUCAACUCAGUUACGGUAGUUAUUACUGAAUACAAGCCUAAAUCAACUGUUAGUCGACAUGAUUCGAGUGAAAGCUUUAGUGAGAGUAAUGAUUCAAGAAGUUAGAUUAAUUUUAAAAGUGGAAUAGUAUUUCCACAAAUGCUUAACUUAUUACAGAGAAUGUCAAAGUUUUAACUAUAUAAGUAUGAAAAAAAUAGAAACAUGUGAACGUUUUUUGCAAAGAUAUUAAUAUUGGCAUCUGUCUGCUCAAAGUUAUUAUUUUCUCGUAUAAUUUAUUCCAUAAUACAUUGUACGAUUGUGCUCCAUUGUAAAUUUUUCUUUGUCAGCCCCACAACUAGCACUCUUCCAUUGAUGGUUGUAACUUGUAUUGCAAACUUAACUGAAUAAAUUUUGUGGUGUAACAGUUUCCAGCCAAUGAUAUUAAAAAAAGCUACAUGGAAUCACAAACUGUACGUAGGUUAAGAAAACUGUACUGAUUUUUAAGUGUAAAUUUCCUUAGAAUGUGAAAUGAUUUUUAGAACCAUGAAUUGAAGUUCAUUUAACUUACCUUAUUCUUGUUUCUAUUAUAAAUGUUGACCACAGUUGAUUUUAUCAUUUUAUUGAACAUUGUACUACAAUGACUUAUAAGCUUAAGAUGAUUGAUAAAUCAAUUGCAAAAAGAGUUAAUACUGCCAAGAACUUCAGAGAAGCAUCUCGAAUGUAUAGAAUGAAUUACCAGUCCAAACGUGAAUUUAUAAACCCAAUCCUAGAUUUAACAUGAUACAUCUCCCGAACAAUAGACUUCCAGUUUGCGAUUACAUAAUUAUUUGAGGAACAUUUUCGGAAAACGGUAACUGUCGAAAGCAGUACGAUGCAUUUAUCACAUACAAUCUGAACAAUAUGCGAGCGGUAAUCCAUCGAAUUAGAAUUAUAGAACUCUUAUUUUAGGUGAACGAUUUUCUCUAUAAAGUCUGAAUUAUCCGUCAUAAGUGGAACAUGAGAAUAAAUGAAAUUCAAUGGGUUGAUAAUGGAAAAUGAACAAAGUCUAGCCAUGGAAUCAAAAUAAACGUGAAUAUUAAAACUCA